AUUUAACUUAAGUACAACUUAAUAGAAUUAAGAAAUGUCAUACUAAGAAUGAUGAAGUCCUGUUAUCUGUCUAUUUUUUCAAAUACGGAUGAUUUAAAAAUAAACCUAAUGUAUAUAGCACAUGCUAAAAUACAAUCAAAUCUCACAAAGUGCCAAAUAAGUAACAUCGAUCACUAAAAAAUACAUUUCAAUCAUAGCUUAUUAAAACAGUAUUAAUUUGAUUGCGGCAAAUGGUCUGAAAUGCAUUAGACAUUAAUGGAAGACAAAAUGUAUUCAUUUUUAUUGUCAUCAGUUUAAUGUAGCCUACAUAUUCAUUUUGCUUGCAGGGAUCAUUUUAAAGCUCAAACUGACUUCCUACACUAGUCCAUGUUCUCUCUAGGGAAGCUCGUUUUAAAUUCUGAGUAGUGAGCUCGCUGUAAAAUGUGCUUUUACUUGUUUGUUAUUUUAGGAUAUUAUUCUGUCAGUAUAACAAAGUAUUCAAGUUGUCAUGAUAACACAACAUUACUAGUUAGUAACAUAUCUACGACAAAUAAAACGCUAAUUUGAAAAUUAAUUCAAUUGAAUUAACACGCUAGUAGUAUAUUUUAAGUCAACUUGAUUAAGGAAGUAGUCGCGGCCGUUAUCAAAGUGCAUUAUGGGGUUGGCGGGCGAAGUUGACUUCCUUUCCGUCCUUGAGCCUUUUCGGACCAGGCUUCGGUAGCAUCAUCGGCUCAGACUGUUUUCAAGGUUGCUGGUUCCAAAAUGAUCUGGAAGUGUAAGUUGUGCGCAGCUUCUUUCACCUCCAGAAUACAGUUAUUUAGACACUAUAGGCUGCAACAAGAUGAGACGGGCUGGAUGUCAGGAGGUCACUGUUAAUGCUGUAAAAAGAAGUAGAAGUAAUCCUGAAAAUGAAUCUUCACAUUCCAACUUUCCCCAAGGAAAGGAUCCUUCAAUCCUUGAGCAGUUGAGGCAGACAAUUGUUGAAGAAGUCACGAGACUGAGAAGAGCCUGCCCCUGAUUAGAAAGAUGAUGGAGACCACAUUUCCCCUACGCCGACAGACUAUAGUGAUGUCCUGCCCACCAGUGAACGAGCUCAUGAACCUCUGGCCUGCUCUCAAAAUAGACAAUGAGUUGUAUGCAGAGUUCCAGCGGAUUACGAAUCAGAACCUCUCCAACACAUUCUAUGCUGAGCUUGACCGCCAUCUUCCUCGACUGAUGACCUUAUUCAGACAGAAGGCAUCAAAAACUGGGAAGACAGCAGAUGCUGUAGUUGAAAUUUAAAAAAUCCACGAUGAACAGGUAAAUAAAUUAUUACACACUUCAUAGGUUCAAUGACUCAUGAG
Molecule: long non-coding RNA, 1322 nt
Organism: Gasterosteus aculeatus aculeatus (three-spined stickleback)
Lineage: Eukaryota; Metazoa; Chordata; Actinopteri; Perciformes; Gasterosteidae
Source: Ensembl